This 408-nucleotide ribosomal RNA is filed under the name uncultured bacterium. RNAcentral describes it as "partial 16S ribosomal RNA". It matches the Rfam family "Bacterial small subunit ribosomal RNA", at positions 28 to 526 of the family's 1533-position model. The record is from RNAcentral.
GACGAACGCUGACGGCGUGCUUAACACAUGCAAGUCGAAGGGAGUGGCGAACGGGUGAGUAACACGUGAGUAACCUGCCCUUUUCUUUGGGAUAAGCCUGGGAAACUUGGUCAAAAACUGGUUAGGAUGGGAUGGGCUCGCGGCGUAUCAGCUGGUUGGUGGAGGGAUGGCUUACCAAGGCUUUGACGGGUAGCCGGCCUGAGAGGGUGGUCGGUCACACUGGGACUGAGAUACGGCCCAGACUCCUACGGGAGGCAGCAGUGGGGGAUAUUGCACAAUGGACGAAAGUCUGAUGCAGCGACGUCGUGUGGGGGAUGAAGGCCUUCGGGUUGUAAAGUACUUUCAGCGGGGAGGCGUUACCCGCAGAAGAAGCACCGGCUAACUCCGUGCCAGCCGCCGCGGUAAUUC